This 74-nucleotide transfer RNA is filed under the name Candidatus Zixiibacteriota bacterium. RNAcentral describes it as "tRNA-His". It matches the Rfam family "tRNA". From Rfam's summary of the family: Transfer RNA (tRNA) molecules are approximately 80 nucleotides in length. Their secondary structure includes four short double-helical elements and three loops (D, anti-codon, and T loops). Lineage: Bacteria; Pseudomonadati; Candidatus Zixiibacteriota. RNAcentral also lists the same sequence under 1 other name. The record is from RNAcentral.
GCUGGGGUAGUUCAGUUGGUUAGAACGCCUGAUUGUGGAUCAGGAGGUCGGCGGUUCAAGUCCGCCCCCCAGUA